UUCACAAAAAAGAGAUUUGAA
Non-coding RNA from Caenorhabditis elegans, 21 nucleotides. The record is from Ensembl. NCBI's taxonomy places the organism in Eukaryota, Metazoa, Nematoda, Chromadorea, Rhabditida, Rhabditidae.